RNAcentral lists this long non-coding RNA (216 nucleotides) under Nicotiana benthamiana. RNAcentral describes it as "long non-coding RNA (NBEN_LNC010861)". The record is from RNAcentral. Lineage: Eukaryota; Viridiplantae; Streptophyta; Magnoliopsida; Solanales; Solanaceae.
UCAUAAGCAUGUAACAAUGGUUACAUAUAUGUAACCUUAGUUAGCCCAUCAUUAACUAAGGUUACCCUUUUAGGUAUCUACACAUUAGUCCUACACUUUAUAUGACAAAAAAGGGUAUCUACACAUUAGUCCUACACUUUAUAUGACAAUAUGUUGGCCCCCUUAACAUAAUGUCCAUAAGACCACUUAUUUAGGCCAAACCAAAAGAUAGCACAU